This 358-nucleotide unclassified non-coding RNA is filed under the name soil metagenome. RNAcentral describes it as "partial contains 5.8S ribosomal RNA, internal transcribed spacer 2, and large subunit ribosomal RNA". The stretch from base 1 to 120 matches the Rfam family "5.8S ribosomal RNA", at positions 35 to 154 of the family's 154-position model. The record is from RNAcentral.
GAUGAAGAACGCAGCGAAAUGCGAUAAGUAAUGUGAAUUGCAGAAUUCAGUGAAUCAUCGGAUCUUUGAACGCACAUUGCGCCCGUCAGUAUUCUGGCGGGCAUGCCUGUUCGAGCGUCAUUACGCCCCUCAAGUCCCCUGUGGACUUGGUGUUGGGGAUCGGCGAGGCUGGUUUUCCAGCACAGCCGUCCCUUAAAUUAAUUGGCGGUCUCGCCGUGGCCCUCCUCUGCGCAGUAGUAAAACACUCGCAACAGGAGCCCGGCGCGGUCCACUGCCGUAAAACCCCCCAACUUUUUAUAGUUGACCUCGAAUCAGGUAGGACUACCCGCUGAACUUAAGCAUAUCAAUAAGCGGAGGA